RNAcentral lists this ribosomal RNA (497 nucleotides) under uncultured bacterium. RNAcentral describes it as "partial 16S ribosomal RNA". It matches the Rfam family "Bacterial small subunit ribosomal RNA", at positions 28 to 507 of the family's 1533-position model. The record is from RNAcentral.
GAUGAACGCUGGCGGCGUGCCUAAUACAUGCAAGUCGAGCGAACGGACGAGAAGCUUGCUUCUCUGAUGUUAGCGGCGGACGGGUGAGUAACACGUGGAUAACCUACCUAUAAGACUGGGAUAACUUCGGGAAACCGGAGCUAAUACCGGAUAAUAUUUUGAACCGCAUGGUUCAAAAGUGAAAGACGGUCUUGCUGCCACUUAUAGAUGGAUCUCGGCUGCAUUAGCUAGUUGGUAAGGUAACGGCUUACCAAGGCAACGAUGCAUAGCCGACCUGUGAGAGUGAUAGGCCGCACUAGAACUGGAACACGGUCCAGGCGCCUACGAGAGGCAGCAGAAGGCAACCUGCCGCAAUGGGCGAGAACAUUACAGAACAACGCCACGUGAGUGAUAGAAGUCUUCGGAUCGUAAAACUCUGUUAUUAGGGAAAAACAUAUGUGUAAGUUAAUGUACACAUCUUGACGGUACCUAAUCAGAAAGCCACGGCUAACUACGUG